ACACGUAUUGCGAUUGUGCGAGU
Molecule: non-coding RNA, 23 nt
Filed under: Arabidopsis thaliana (thale cress)
Lineage: Eukaryota; Viridiplantae; Streptophyta; Magnoliopsida; Brassicales; Brassicaceae
Source: RNAcentral